GAGGUCCAGCCUGCCCGGUGAUACAAUUUAACGGCCGCGGUAUACUGACCGUGCGAAGGUAGCAUAAUCACUUGUUCUUUAAAUGGGGACUAGUAUGAACGGCACCACGAGGGCUUUACUGUCUCCUCCCUUCAAUCAGUGAAACUGACCUCCCUGUGAAGAGGCAGGGAUACUACUAUAAGACGAGAAGACCCCAUGGAGCUUUAAACCCAACAGCAGCCCAAACACCCCUCCCCAUCAUAGUUUUUAAGGUAUUGUCAGUUGGUUUUAGGUUGGGGUGACCGCGGAGCAUAAACUACCCUCCACGACGAAUGGGCCUACCCCCUUACCCAAGAAUUACACCUCUAAGGAUUAAUACAUUAACGUUAAGUGAUCCAAAUAUUUGAUCAACGAACCAAGUUACCCUGGGGAUAACAGCGCAAUCCAUUUUUAGAGCCCCUAUCGACAAAUGGGUUUACGACCUCGAUGUUGGAUCAGGGUAUCCCGGAGGUGCAGCCGCUUCCAAUGGUUUGUUUGUUCAACAAUUAAAACCCUACGUGAUCUGAGU
Molecule: ribosomal RNA, 547 nt
Filed under: Euphlyctis cyanophlyctis (skittering frog)
Lineage: Eukaryota; Metazoa; Chordata; Amphibia; Anura; Dicroglossidae
Description: partial 16S ribosomal RNA
Rfam family: Bacterial large subunit ribosomal RNA
Source: RNAcentral